RNAcentral lists this ribosomal RNA (267 nucleotides) under uncultured bacterium. Its description in RNAcentral is "partial 16S ribosomal RNA". It matches the Rfam family "Bacterial small subunit ribosomal RNA", at positions 335 to 614 of the family's 1533-position model. The record is from RNAcentral.
ACUCCUACGGGAGGCAGCAGUGGGGAAUAUUGGACAAUGGGCGGAAGCCUGAUCCAGCAACGCCGCGUGGGGAUGAAGGCCUUCGGGUUGUAAACCUCUUUCAGUACCGACGAAGCUUUUUGUGACGGUAGGUACAGAAGAAGCACCGGCCAACUACGUGCCAGCAGCCGCGGUAAUACGUAGGGUGCGAGCGUUGUCCGGAAUUAUUGGGCGUAAAGGGCUCGUAGGCGGUCUGUCGCGUCGGAAGUGUAAACAUCUGGCUCAACC